RNAcentral lists this long non-coding RNA (773 nucleotides) under Mytilus galloprovincialis (Mediterranean mussel). The record is from RNAcentral. Lineage: Eukaryota; Metazoa; Mollusca; Bivalvia; Mytilida; Mytilidae.
GUCGUCGUCGUCGUCUGUCGUCGUUAACAAUUUUUCAAACAUCUUCUCCUCUGAAACUUCUGAAUGGAUUUGAAUGAAACUUAGCAUGAUUGUUCCUUAGAUUAUCCUGCACAAAGUGUGUGCUUCGAUUUUUGAUCCGUCAAAAAACAUGGCCGCUGUUACUUAAAAUAGAACAUAGGGGUCAAAUGCAGUUUUUGGCUUAUAUCUCAAAAACGAAAGCAUUUAGAGCAAAUCUGACAUGGGGUAAAAAUGUUCAUUAGGUCAAGAUCUAUCAGCCCUGAAAUUUCAGAUGAAUCAAACAAACCAUUGUUGGGUUGCUGCCACUUAAUUGGUAAUUUUAAGGAAAUUUUGCAGUUUUUGGUCAUUAUCUUGAAUAUUAUUAUAGAUAAAGAUAAACUGUAAACAGCAAAAAUGAUCAGCAAAGUAAGAUCUACAAAUAAGUUAAUAUGACCAAAAUUGUCAAUUGACUCCUUAAGGGGUUAUUGUCCUUUAAUGACAAUUUUUCACAAUUUGUUCAUCAUAUUUGCUAACUUUAAAAAAUCUUCUCCUCUGAAACUACUGAAUGGAUUUGAAUGAAACUUAGCAUGAUUGUUCCUUAGAUUAUCAUGCACAAAGUGUGUGCUUCGAUUUUUGAUCCGUCAAAAAAUAUGGCCGCCGUUACUUAAAAUAGAACAUAGGGGUCAAAUGCAGUUUUUUGGCUUAUAUCUCAAAAACGAAAGCAUUAAGAGCAAAUCUGACAUGGUGUAAAAAUGUUCAUUAGGUCAAGAUCUAUC